Molecule: non-coding RNA, 85 nt
Organism: Podarcis lilfordi (Lilford's wall lizard)
Lineage: Eukaryota; Metazoa; Chordata; Lepidosauria; Squamata; Lacertidae
Source: the annotation of a GenBank genome assembly
CCUCUGAUAGCUCAGUCUGGAGAGCAUGAGACUCUUAAUCUCAGGGUUGUGGGUUCGAGCAAAAUAAUUCCUGCAUUGCAGGGGG